This 25-nucleotide non-coding RNA is filed under the name Mus musculus (house mouse). The record is from RNAcentral. Lineage: Eukaryota; Metazoa; Chordata; Mammalia; Rodentia; Muridae.
UGAAGAUGGAGGCCUGAAAUGGGGC